AUUAAUAAGCGGAGGAAAAGAAACUAACGAGGAUUCCCUUAGUAACGGCGAGUGAAGCGGGACAAGCCCAGCGCCGAAUCCCACGUCGUCCUCGGCGUCGGGAACUGUGGCGUUAAGGCCGGCCAACGGGGAUCGGUUGGGAGUCCGAGUCCUCCUGAUCGGGGCUUCACCCAGAGCGGGUGUCAGGCCUCUACGGCGUCCGAUCGGUCCUCAAUGGUCGUCCUGGGAGUCGGGUUGUUUGAGAAUGCAGCCCAAAGCUGGUGGUAAACUCCAUCUAAGGCUAAAUACAGACACGAGUCCGAUAGCGCACAAGUACCGUGAGGGAAAGUU
Molecule: ribosomal RNA, 330 nt
Filed under: Cernosvitoviella immota
Lineage: Eukaryota; Metazoa; Annelida; Clitellata; Enchytraeida; Enchytraeidae
Description: eukaryotic LSU rRNA
Rfam family: Eukaryotic large subunit ribosomal RNA
Source: RNAcentral